GGAUCCCUCCUGCGAGGGUGUUCUGGGGGCAGCCCACAAGUGUCGCCACAUUCCGGCACCAACAUAGCAUGCCCGCAACUUCCUAACCCGUAUGUCUUUGGAAUGUGGGAGGAAACCGGAGCACCCGGAGGAAACCCACGCAGACACAGGGAAUUUCUUUCCAUAGCAAUAAGAACCCACAUGCAGCACGAGGUUACAAGCACACGGUGACAUACUAGACCAAGGAGCUACAACAGGCUGACGACCCCAAUCCGUCUACGAUGUUGUUCACUCUUCGACUGAAACUAGUCGUUCACGGUU
Molecule: long non-coding RNA, 300 nt
Organism: Pristis pectinata (smalltooth sawfish)
Lineage: Eukaryota; Metazoa; Chordata; Chondrichthyes; Rhinopristiformes; Pristidae
Exons: 3
Source: RefSeq, a predicted model, not a curated record